GACGAACGCUGGCGGCGUGCCUAAUACAUGCAAGUCGAGCGGAUGGAAGGAAGCUUGCUUCCUAAAGUCAGCGGCGGACGGGUGAGUAACACGUGGGCAACCUGCCCCUAAGAUCGGGAUAACUUCGGGAAACCGGAGCUAAUACCGGAUAUGAUUAUGUCUCACAUGAGACAUAAUGGAAAGACGGUUUCGGCUGUCACUUAGGGAUGGGCCCGCGGCGAAUUAGCUAGUUGGUGAGGUAACGGCUCACCAAGGCGACGAUGCGUAGCCGACCUGAGAGGGUGAUCGGCCACACUGGGACUGAGACACGGCCCAGACUCCUACGGGAGGCAGCAGUAGGGAAUCUUCCGCAAUGGACGAAAGUCUGACGGAGCAACGCCGCGUGAGUGAAGAAGGUUUUCGGAUCGUAAAACUCUGUUGUUAGGGAAGAACAAGUACCAUAGUAACUGAUGGUACCUUGACGGUACCUAACCAGAAAGCCACGGCUAACUACGUGCCAGCCGCCGCGGUAA
Molecule: ribosomal RNA, 512 nt
Filed under: uncultured bacterium
Lineage: Bacteria
Description: partial 16S ribosomal RNA
Rfam family: Bacterial small subunit ribosomal RNA
Source: RNAcentral